This 827-nucleotide unclassified non-coding RNA is filed under the name Hevea brasiliensis (rubber tree). The record is from RNAcentral. Lineage: Eukaryota; Viridiplantae; Streptophyta; Magnoliopsida; Malpighiales; Euphorbiaceae.
UGAAGCUCAACUAAGAACAAACACACACAGGGAUAUGGGACACCCAAAGGAGAUAAUCGGAGAUAUUCCAAACGGAACAAAAAUCUUCAGCAAGAAACUAGCAAAAACUGAUAGAGAUUUUCAGUUAAUUGUUCCGGAGCGAGUUUUCGAGCAAUUUGCUAUUGAGAAUGGAUCUUACGAGAGGGACUUUACUGCAUUCGAUGCAGGCGGUCGUAAAUGGGAAUUCAUACUAGCCAUUCGUCAAACUGGUUCGUAUGAUAAACCAGUUCUUCGGCCAUGCAAAUGGCAUGAAUUUGUGGUAGCGCACGGUCUCUCUGGGGAUGAUGCAGAAUAUGGAGUGGUGUUUUACAAAGACGACAAUGACAAUGGCAAACUGCAAGUUAGAGGCCUGAAAAAGAAUCACAGCCCCUUAUUUGGUAAGGCAAUUUGGGAAAAAGUAUGAGAAUUUUUCACCUUGAAGGUGAUCACUUGUCUCAUCAUCAGCUUCCUUUCUUUGAAAUUGAAAUGUGGGUCUUUAAUUAGCUUGAUAUGCCUUUAGCUUAAAGCUUAGUUGUUGUAGUAGCUCAAUGGCAUGGGAAUUGCUGAUCAAGCAGUGCAUGAUCCCAAGGCUUAGUUGUGUGUCACUAAACUCAAAAGGUUUGGAUUAGAAGUUUAUAGGCUAGUUAUGCAUUAAGCAAGCAGGUGCUCCCACCCUUGUCAGCACCCUAAUAAUUAACUUGUGUUUGGUUGUGCAUGGUUAUGGUUUUAGAAACAGAUUUGUCUAGCACGUUUUUCAUGUGAAAGAUUGUAUCUUGUAAUGUUGUUUUAAUAAUGAAAUUGUAGUUUGU